This 861-nucleotide ribosomal RNA is filed under the name uncultured archaeon. RNAcentral's name for it is "bacterial SSU rRNA". It matches the Rfam family "Archaeal small subunit ribosomal RNA", at positions 26 to 893 of the family's 1478-position model. The record is from RNAcentral.
ACUGCUAUCGGAUUGAUACUAAGCCAUGCGAGUCAUUGUAGUAAUACAAGGCAGACGGCUCAGUAACGCGUAGUCAACCUACCCUAUGGACGGGAAUAACCUCGGGAAACUGAGAAUAAUGCCCGAUAGAACAUUAUGCCUGGAAUGGUUUAUGUUCCAAAUGAUUUAUCGCCGUAGGAUGGGACUGCGUCCUAUCAGUUUGUUGGUGAGGUAAUGGCCCACCAAGACUAUUACAGGUACGGGCUCUGAGAGGAGUGGCCCGGAGAUGGGUACUGAGACACGGACCCAGGCCCUAUGGGGCGCAGCAGGCGAGAAAACUUUGCAAUGUGCGAAAGCACGACAAGGUUAAUCCGAGUGGUUUCUGCUAAAGGAACCUUUUGUCGGUCCUAGAAACACCGAUGAAUAAGGGGUGGGCAAGUUCUGGUGUCAGCCGCCGCGGUAAAACCAGCACCUCAAGUUGUCAGGAUGAUUAUUGGGCCUAAAGCAUCCGUAGCCGGCUCUGUUAGUUUUCGGUUAAAUCUAUACGCUCAACGUAUAGGCUGCCGGGAAUACUGCAGAGCUAGGGAGUGGGAGAGGUAGAUGGUACUCGGUAGGAAGGGGUAAAAUCCUUUGAUCUAUUGAUGACCACCUGUGGCGAAGGCGGUCUACCAGAACACGUCCGACGGUGAGGGAUGAAAGCUGGGGGAGCAAACCGGAUUAGAUACCCGGGUAGUCCCAGCUGUAAACUAUGCAAACUCAGUGAUGCAUUGGCUUGUGGCCAAUGCAGUGCUGCAGGGAAGCCGUUAAGUUUGCCGCCUGGGAAGUACGUACGCAAGUAUGAAACUUAAAGGAAUUGGCGGGGGAGCACCACAAGGGGUGAAG